Molecule: small nuclear RNA, 73 nt
Filed under: Acanthamoeba castellanii str. Neff
Lineage: Eukaryota; Discosea; Longamoebia; Acanthamoebidae
Source: RNAcentral
GGACCUCCCGAAAGGGAGGCUCCAUCUGUUAAAAUUGGAACGAUACAGAGAAGAUUAGCAUGGCCCCUGCGCA